CCAGACUCCUACGGGAGGCAGCAGUGAGGAAUAUUGGUCAAUGGGCGAGAGCCUGAACCAGCCAAGUCGCGUGAGGGAAGACGGUCCUAUGGAUUGUAAACCUCUUUUGCCGGGGAGCAAAAAGCGGUACGUGUACCGCAUCGAGAGUACCCGGAGAAAAAGCAUCGGCUAACUCCGUGCCAGCAGCCGCGGUAAUACGGAGGGCGCGAGCGUUAAUCGGAAUUACUGGGCGUAAAGCGCGCGUAGGCUGUUGUGUAAGUUGGGGGUGAAAUCCCACGGCUCAACCGUGGAACAGCCCUUGAUACUGCGCGACUUGAAUCCGGGAGAGGGUGGCGGAAUUCCAGGUGUAGGAGUGAAAUCCGUAGAUAUCUGGAGGAACAUCAGUGGCGAAGGCGGCCACCUGGACCGGUAUUGACGCUGAGGCGCGAAAGCGUGGGGAGCAAACAGGAUUAGAUACCCCAGUA
RNAcentral lists this ribosomal RNA (464 nucleotides) under uncultured bacterium. Its description in RNAcentral is "bacterial SSU rRNA". It matches the Rfam family "Bacterial small subunit ribosomal RNA", at positions 331 to 792 of the family's 1533-position model. The record is from RNAcentral.